Molecule: transfer RNA, 86 nt
Filed under: Candidatus Nealsoniibacteriota bacterium
Lineage: Bacteria; Candidatus Nealsoniibacteriota
Description: Candidatus Nealsonbacteria bacterium tRNA-Leu
Rfam family: tRNA
About the family: Transfer RNA (tRNA) molecules are approximately 80 nucleotides in length.
Source: RNAcentral
GCCGAGGUGGUGAAAUUUGGCUAGACACGCAGUCUUCAGAAGGCUGUGAAGGAAACUUCAUGCGGGUUCGAGUCCCGCCCUCGGCA